AGAUCCUGAGAGCAGAAGACAAUCAUAUGUCCUGAGAACCCACUGAAGGUUGAACGCUGCUGGGUGGAGAAAGGCAGAAAUGCAGAAUUUCAUCAUUGCCUGGAUGCUGCCUUCAUCCAGAGAGAAGAAGCAUAAGGAGUGGAGAACUGGAUGUUGAGACUUGCCCCCAAGAUCCCAAGGUCCCCAGGUACUGUGAGCAACCACUGGAGCUAGAAGACUGCUGCCUGAAGACGAGAAGAUGUGCAGGAUUGUCAUUGACUAUACUGUCACUUGUGGUUCCCAGGUCUUAAGAGAGGAUGCACAAGGAAGGGAGGACUCAUGGGAAGGAGGACAGUGGCGGUAUGAGUUUUGAAACCGUGUCCUCAUGGUGGCAGUAGAGCUCCACACAAGAGCUUGUGUGUGCUUCUCCCCCGCCCUUUGUGUCUGAAAAAACACCAAAGAUGGCGGUCCUGAGUUCUGGCCUACUUUGAGUAGUAUCAAGUGUAUUUUAUUUUUACUGAUGUGUGUUCCAUGUGAAGCCAAUCUGAGGCGUACUUCUACCCUAGGUCAUAGGACUCUUUUCAGUUGUGUAAGACUUUUCCCAUUUCUCUCUUUAUAAUUGUUUAUUUUUACCCGUUCAAGAUACUUAAUGGUCUUAAAAUUUGGUAUAAUUAAUUUUGUGUGGGUUUUACCUGAUAAAGAUAUGCUAGGAGA
Long non-coding RNA from Mus pahari (shrew mouse), 693 nucleotides. RefSeq lists it as uncharacterized. The record is from RefSeq and is a predicted model, not a curated record. NCBI's taxonomy places the organism in Eukaryota, Metazoa, Chordata, Mammalia, Rodentia, Muridae. The transcript is spliced from 3 exons.